RNAcentral lists this ribosomal RNA (495 nucleotides) under uncultured bacterium. RNAcentral describes it as "partial 16S ribosomal RNA". It matches the Rfam family "Bacterial small subunit ribosomal RNA", at positions 28 to 505 of the family's 1533-position model. The record is from RNAcentral.
GAUGAACGCUGGCGGCGUGCCUAAUACAUGCAAGUCGAGCGAACAGACGAGGAGCUUGCUCCUCUGACGUUAGCGGCGGACGGGUGAGUAACACGUGGAUAACCUACCUAUAAGACUGGGAUAACUUCGGGAAACCGGAGCUACUACCGGCUCAUAUAUUCAACCGCUUGGUUCAAUAGUGAAAGACGGCUUUGCUGUCACUUAUAGACGGAUCCGCGGCGCAUUAGCUAGUUGGUAAGGUAACGGCUUACCAAGGCAACGAUGCUUAGCCGACCUGAGAGGGUGAUCGGCCACACUGAAACUGAGACACGGUCCAGCCUCCUACGGGAGGCAGCAGUAGAGAAUCUGCCGCAAUGGGCGAGAGCCAGACGGAGCAACGGCGCGUGAGUGAUGAAGGUCUGCGGUGCGUAAAACUCUGGUAUGAGAGGAGAACAAAUGUGUAAGUAACUAGGCGCGUCGUCACGGUACCAAGUCAGAAAGCCGCGGCUAACUGCG